CACCUGUGUCUUUAUGAUGCCCAGUGUCCUUGUAGGACCACAGACCACUGCCAGGUCUGACAACCUUGCUUUCUUCCCCAGAACUAAACCUGAGUUUGUUAGCUAUCUGAGUAGUUUCUGAGUUGUUUUCCUUUGCUUUCCACCACAUCAAUGCUAGUCUUUCCACACCGAGCUAUUCCUGUACUUUGAAGACUAAAUUACUGUCCACACAGUGUGUCUGUUAGGCACCAGAUUAGAUUUCCCACGAUUCCUAUAAGGCAGUAUGGAAUUUCUAACAUAUAUAAACAUUUCUGGGUUUGAACAACACAGAAAUGCAUUUUUUUCUCCGUGACAUUUUAUCUUUGCAAUCCCAUCUUCAACAGCUCUUCAGAUGAUAGAAUGACUUAAAUGCUGACUGCCCAGGAGUACCUGUAAAUUGCACUGGUCAAAUGCUGUACAGAGAUUCCUAGAAAUGAUCCCUCUUUGGAUUCUCUGUCCAUCCUCUUCCAUUAGGUUGUCAAGGCCUCUUUUCUGCACGAGGUCUCACUAUGCAGCUCAAGAUGACUUCAAACUCCUCCUCCUCCUGCUGCUGCUGCUGCUGCUCAGUCUCCUUGGUGCUAGAGUUCCAAACCUGUCUUUGGAUAUCCGGUUUUAUAAAAUAAAUUAUACUACUUUUAAGUGUGUUUGUGUGAGAGAGUGGGAGUGUGUGUGAGUGUCCACAGUGGCCAAAUGAGUCAGAUCCCCCGGAGCUGGAGUUAUUGGUGGUUGUGAACCACCCAUUAUUGGUGCUGGAAUCAAAUUCAGGUCCUCCUUAACUACUGAGACAUUUCUCCAGCCCCAGCAUGUCCAGCACAAGUAUGCCUAUAAACCUCAUAGAUGUCUGGUGUCUAGUGGACUAGGAGAGGCAUCAGACCCCCUGGGAACUGAAGUUACAAACAGUUGUGAGUCACCAUGUGGAUUCUGAGAAUUGAACCCAGGUACUCUGGAAAAACAGCCAGCUAUAAACUGUUCAGCCAAUCUCUCAGGCCCAAUAUCUCCAUUCUUAACUCUGAUUUUUUUUUCCUUUUUCAUGCAAAUACAUUCAGGCUUUUUGUUUUUG
Molecule: long non-coding RNA, 1078 nt
Filed under: Mus spicilegus (steppe mouse)
Lineage: Eukaryota; Metazoa; Chordata; Mammalia; Rodentia; Muridae
Description: lncRNA (ENSMSIG00000021750.1)
Source: RNAcentral